GGGGGGGGGGGGGGGGGGGGGGGGGGGGGGGGGGGCGGGGGGGGGGACGGGGGGCUGGCUUCUCUGGUGUUAGCGGCGGACGGGUGGGUAACACGUGGGUAACCUACCUAUAAGACUGGGAUAACUUCGGGAAACCGGAGCUAAUACCGGAUGAUCUUUUGAACCGCAUGGUUCAAAAGUGAAAGACGGUCUUGCUGUCACUUAUAGAUGGAUCCGCGCUGCAUUAGCUAGUUGGUAAGGUAAUGGCUUACCAAGGCAACGAUGCAUCGCCGACCUGAGAGGGUGAGCGGCCACACUGGAACUGAGACACGGUCCAGACUCCUACGGGAGGCAGCAGUAGGGAAUCUUCCGCAAUGGGCGAAAGCCUGACGGAGCAACGCCGCGUGAGUGAUGAAGGUCUUCGGAUCGUAAAACUCUGUUAUUAGGGAAGAACAUAUGUGUAAGUAACUGUGCACAUCUUGACGGUACCUAAUCAGAAAGCCACGGCUAACUACGUG
RNAcentral lists this ribosomal RNA (497 nucleotides) under uncultured bacterium. RNAcentral's name for it is "partial 16S ribosomal RNA". It matches the Rfam family "Bacterial small subunit ribosomal RNA", at positions 27 to 507 of the family's 1533-position model. The record is from RNAcentral.